Molecule: transfer RNA, 91 nt
Filed under: Pseudomonadota bacterium
Lineage: Bacteria; Pseudomonadati; Pseudomonadota
Description: Proteobacteria bacterium (groundwater metagenome) tRNA-Sec
Rfam family: Selenocysteine transfer RNA
Source: RNAcentral
GGAGGGUAUUUCGUCCCGGUGGGCGGCGCGGGCUUCAAACCCGUUGGAUCGUCGAAAGCCGAUCGGCAGGUUCGACUCCUGUUACCCUCCG